UACGUAGGGUGCAAGCGUUAAUCGGAAUUACUGGGCGUAAAGCGUGCGCAGGCGGUUUUGUAAGUCUGUCGUGAAAUCCCCGGGCUCAACCUGGGAAUUGCGAUGGAGACUGCAAGGCUAGAAUCUGGCAGAGGGGGGUAGAAUUCCACGUGUAGCAGUGAAAUGCGUAGAGAUGUGGAGGAACACCGAUGGCGAAGGCAGCCCCCUUGGUCAAGAUUGACGCUCAUGCACGAAAGCGUGGGGAGCAAACAGG
RNAcentral lists this ribosomal RNA (253 nucleotides) under uncultured bacterium. RNAcentral's name for it is "partial 16S ribosomal RNA". It matches the Rfam family "Bacterial small subunit ribosomal RNA", at positions 524 to 776 of the family's 1533-position model. The record is from RNAcentral.